This 250-nucleotide ribosomal RNA is filed under the name uncultured prokaryote. RNAcentral's name for it is "partial 16S ribosomal RNA". It matches the Rfam family "Bacterial small subunit ribosomal RNA", at positions 524 to 775 of the family's 1533-position model. The record is from RNAcentral.
UACGUAGGGGGCGAGCGUUAUCCGGAUUUAUUGGGCGUAAAGCGUGUGUAGGCGGUUUAUUAAGUCUAAAAUUAAAGCCUGAGGCUUAACCUCAGUUCGUUUUAGAAACUGGUAGACUUGAGUGUGGUAGAGGCAAAUGGAAUUUCUAGUGUAGCGGUUAAUGCGUAGAUAUUAGAAGGAACACCAGUGGCGAAGGCGGUUUGCUGGGCCGUUACUGACGCUGAGACACGAAAGCGUGGGGAGCAAAUAG